UUUUCUUCUAGACUCAACAACGGCCAACAAUCAAGGGGGCUCCUAUGGUCGGUCGAGGCUCUGGUACCAACUUGUCACGCCCAAUAUGAGACCCUAUCCAAAAGGAACUCGAAGGUCCCACCAAGGAUAGACCCGCAUAUUGAAACACUUUUGCAAGGUGGAUAUCAUUACAUCAACAUUACAUAAUAGAUGGGGAUACAUACAUAAGGCAUACAAUGCCACACGAAUACAACAUCAUCAUACAUUAGAUCAUCAUCCGGCUACGGAUGGAACACAAACAAAAACUCAAACGACAUCCACCCUGCUAGCCCAGGCUGCCGACCUGGAACCUAUCCCCUGAUCAAAGAAGAAGCAGAAGCAGCACUUCAAGACAAGCAAACAUCGCUCUCGCGUCAUGAUCAUCGCACAACCUGUACCUGCAACUGUUGUUGUAGUAAUCUGUGAGCCACGAGGACUCAGCAAUCCCAUUACCAUGGGUAUCAAGACUAGCAAAGCUUAAUAGGAAAGGAAGGGGUAAAGUGGUGAGGCUGCAACAGCGACUAAGCAUAUAUGGUGGCUAACAUACGCAAAUAAGAGCGAGAAGAGAGCAAGCGGAAACGGUCGUGAAGCUAGCAAUGAUCAAGAAGUGAUCCUGAACUCCUACUUACGUCAAGCAUAACACAGAAACCGUGUUCACUUCCCAGACUCCGCCGAAAAGAGACCAUCACGGCUACACACACGGUUGAUGUGUUUUAAUUCGGAUCUGGUGUCAAGUUGUCUACAACCGGACAUUAACAAAUUCCCAUCUGCCUAUAACCGCAGGCACGGCUUUCGAAAGAUUAUACCCUGCAGGGGUGUCCCAACUUAGCCCAUGACAAGCUCUCACGAUCAACGAAGGAAUAGACCUUCUCCCAGGAAGACCCGAUCAGACUCGGAAUCCUGGUUUACAAGACAUUUCGACAAUGGUAAAACAAGACCAGCAAGACCGCCCGAUGCGCCGACAAUCCCGAUAGGAGCUGCACCUAUCUCGUUCUCAGGGCAACACCGGAUGAGCAAUCCGUACAACUAAAACCAGACCUCAAGUUUCCCUGAGGGGGCGCUCCAAAGGGCUCUAGUUCAGACCAACACUUAGAUAAGCACUGGCCCGGGGGGGCUAUAAUAAAGAUGACCCUCGAGAGAGCGACUCCCAAGGGAAAAGUAGGUGGUGGUGAGGCAAAUGGUAAAAGUCAAUGUUGGGCCUUGCUGGAGGAGUUUUAUUCAAAGCGAACUGUCAAGGGGGUUCCAUAAAUCACCCGACCGCGUAAGGAACGCAAAAUCCGGGAACAUAACACCGGUAUGACGGAAACUAGGGCGGCAAGAGUGGAACAAAACACCAGGCAAAAGGCCGAGCCUUCCACCCUUUACCAAAUAUAUAGAUGCAUUAAUAAUAUAAGAGAUAUUGUGAUAUCCCAACCAAAAUCCUGUCCACCAUGGAGCAAUCUUCAACUUCACCUGCAACUAGCAACGCUAUAAGAGGGCUGAGCAAAGCGGUAACAUAGCCAAACAAUGGUUUACAUAGGAAAGGUGUCAAAGGUUAGAGGUUCAUGGCAAUUUGGGGAGGCUUGAAGAGCAACCGAUAGGUAACGCAGCAUAGCGAUAGAACGAAGCAACUAGCAUAGCAAUGAUAGUAUGAGAUCCAGGGUCGCGGUCAUCUUGCCUGAAAUCCCGCUAGGAAGAAGAACGAGUCCAUGAAGAAGACAAGCGGAAGUAGUCGAACGACUUCCUCACAACUCCGGAACGAAACCGAAGGCAACCCGGAAAGAAGCAAACAACAUGGUAAACAAACAUCACAUAAACAUGGCAUGAUGCACAAACAAGUAUGAUGCAUGUCCGGUUUAAUGAGGCAUGGCAUGGCAAAGUGCAACAAACAAUACUACAAGUUAAGUGGAGCUCAAUAUGCAACGAGUUGCAUAUUGACGAAACACCACAUGACUUAUUUAGUUCUCUCUCGUUUAGGUACACAACAAUAUUAAAUGUUAUUAAACAUGGCAAGAGGUGAAACAUAAUAAAACUACCCAUCUAGGCAAGUUUAAAAUGAGGCCGGAACAACAAACAACAAUUCCGGAAGAACCCCAUAUGCAUAUUUUAGAUUUGGUACUGUUCUGCCUAUUACAUAAUUUUCGAGUUGUUAAACAGGAAAAUAAAGUGCACCAUGUUAAUCUAGGCAUUUUCCCACCCCAUUUACAUAUAAAGUACAUUUAAAAUGGAGCUACGGUUAUUUAGUUAUGAAAUAAAUCAUUUUAGCAUGGCAUUAUGCAAAAUAAACACAAACAGCAUGUUAAACAUUUUAAACAUGGAUGAAAAUGGCAUAUUGUGAAACUAGAUGCAAUUCUAAUCAUUUUACAUAUAUGACAUGUUUAAUUUGGAUGCAUGGAUAAUUACUUAUGAACAUUUUAAAAUGAUGGCAUUUCAGUAAAUAUGCAUGCUCUGAAAAAUGCUAAAAUACCCAGGGUGGAAAAAAAAUAUGCACGGGCCCGAAGCAUCACAAUGCAGCGGCCCAGAUGAGGAUUCGGCCCAUGUGGGUGUGAGGGCCCAAAUGCCUGCGUGCGUGUGUGUGGCAAAAAUAAAUAAAACAGCUGGGAAUUAAAAAGGGGUGAGCCUGGGAUUCGAACCCAGGUCUCCUGAAUGGAGGCGCGGCGCGACGACCAACUAGGCUACAGCUAUGCUUGUGGAAAAGAAGAAGGCCAGGGCUAAUUGAACAGAGACCAAACAGGGCGACCUUUGGAGCCAUUGGCUCACGGUCAAACUCACCGGCGACAGUAACAACAGAUGGCGCCUACUGCAGCUACCAAGCGCCGGCGGGGUGCCGAAAUAGGUGAGGGUGCGCGUGUGCAUGGAGGGGCUUUUGCUGCUGUUGGUGAUGCGUGUGGACUCGCUGAAGAUGCAUACGUUGGACCUGAACCAAGCAGAGCAAAUAACAGAGAGACAGGGCCAGGCUUGCAGGUCGGGGUGCUCGUGGGUGCGACAGAGACUGUCGAGCAGCAUGGCGAGCGCGGGCAAACGGCUCGACGGAGGUGCUCGAGCACGAGCAGGCUCGGCUCGGCCCGGGCGAUGCACGGCGAGGCCGGGUGAGUACAGAGGUGCGGCGAGGCGAAGCACACAGGGUGCACACGUGCUGGAGUGCGUGCAAUAGGUGAAUCGAGUAGGGCCUAGAACACGAGCUUGGGCUUGCUGCCAUGGUCGUACAUGACGGACAUGGCCUCGGACACCAUGGGAUCGGCGCCUACCGCGACGAAUCAAACCAGAGGGAGAGAUGGGGAGGAGCGGCUGCUCACCGAGGGCUCGGGACAAGAAGUUGAGGUCGGAAGCGCGACCACGGACGCGCUGGUUGCGGAGGUGAUCGGCUCCGCGGAGCUUAGGAAGCAGAGCAGACGACGUCGAGGAACUUGGCGUCCCGCGGCGAUGAAGAGGAAGAAGACGUCGGCGUGGACGGAGCUCCGGGUCCAUGUGGUCGCGUGCGUAGCCGUGGAAGAAGACGGAGGCGUCCACGACGUCCUCGUGGAAGAAGGAGACGGCUAUGGCGAGGAUCAAGCCGGAGAAGAGCUCCCCUCGGCCAUGGCGCGGGCAACGGUUGUUGUGGAAUGGCGUGGCUUACCGGG
This 3617-nucleotide long non-coding RNA is filed under the name Triticum aestivum (bread wheat). Its description in RNAcentral is "long non-coding RNA (TAES_LNC022111)". Lineage: Eukaryota; Viridiplantae; Streptophyta; Magnoliopsida; Poales; Poaceae. The record is from RNAcentral.